This 1156-nucleotide ribosomal RNA is filed under the name Campylobacter jejuni. RNAcentral's name for it is "partial 23S ribosomal RNA". It matches the Rfam family "Bacterial large subunit ribosomal RNA", at positions 12 to 1188 of the family's 2925-position model. The record is from RNAcentral. Lineage: Bacteria; Pseudomonadati; Campylobacterota; Epsilonproteobacteria; Campylobacterales; Campylobacteraceae.
UAAGAGCGAAUGGUGGAUGCCUUGACUGGUAAAGGCGAUGAAGGACGUACUAGACUGCGAUAAGCUACGGGGAGCUGUCAAGAAGCUUUGAUCCGUAGAUUUCCGAAUGGGGCAACCCAAUGUAUAGAGAUAUACAUUACCUAUAUAGGAGCGAACGAGGGGAAUUGAAACAUCUUAGUACCCUCAGGAAAAGAAAUCAAUAGAGAUUGCGUCAGUAGCGGCGAGCGAAAGCGCAAGAGGGCAAACCCAGUGCUUGCACUGGGGGUUGUAGGACUGUAAUGUGCAAGAGGUAAGUUUAGCAGAACAUUCUGGAAAGUAUAACCAUAGAGGGUGAUAGUCCCGUAUGCGAAAAACAAACCUUAGCUAGCAGUAUCCUGAGUAGGGCGGGACACGAGGAAUCCUGUCUGAAUCCGGGUCGACCACGAUCCAACCCUAAAUACUAAUACCAGAUCGAUAGUGCACAAGUACCGUGAGGGAAAGGUGAAAAGAACUGAGGUGAUCAGAGUGAAAUAGAACCUGAAACCAUUUGCUUACAAUCAUUCAGAGCCCUAUGUAGGAAUACAGGGUGAUGGACUGCCUUUUGCAUAAUGAGCCUGCGAGUUGUGGUGUCUGGCAAGGUUAAGCAAACGCGAAGCCGUAGCGAAAGCGAGUCUGAAUAGGGCGCUUAGUCAGAUGCUGCAGACCCGAAACGAAGUGAUCUAUCCAUGAGCAAGUUGAAGCUAGUGUAAGAACUAGUGGAGGACUGAACCCAUAGGCGUUGAAAAGCCCCGGGAUGACUUGUGGAUAGGGGUGAAAGGCCAAUCAAACUUCGUGAUAGCUGGUUCUCUCCGAAAUAUAUUUAGGUAUAGCGUUGUGUCGUAAUAUAAGGGGGUAGAGCACUGAAUGGGCUAGGGCAUACACCAAUGUACCAAACCCUAUCAAACUCCGAAUACCUUAUAUGUAAUCACAGCAGUCAGGCGGCGAGUGAUAAAAUCCGUCGUCAAGAGGGAAACAACCCAGACUACCAGCUAAGGUCCCUAAAUCUUACUUAAGUGGAAAACGAUGUGAAGUUACUUAAACAACCAGGAGGUUGGCUUAGAAGCAGCCAUCCUUUAAAGAAAGCGUAAUAGCUCACUGGUCUAGUGAUUUUGCGCGGAAAAUAUAACGGGGCUAAAGU